GAUGAACGCUGGCGGCGUGCCUAAUACAUGCAAGUCGAGCGAACGGACGAGAAGCUUGCUUCUCUGAUGUUAGCGGCGGACGGGUGAGUAACACGUGGAUAACCUACCUCUAAGACUGGGAUAAUUUCGGGAAACCGGAGCUAAUACCGGAUAAUAUUUUGAACCGCAUGGUUCAAAAGUGAAAGACGGUCUUGCUGUCACUUAUAGAUGGAUCCGCGCUGCAUUAGCUAGUUGGUAAGGUAACGGCUUACCAAGGCAACGAUGCAUAGCCAACCUGAGAGGGUGUUCGGCCACACUGGAACUGAGACACGGUCCAGACUCCUACGAGAGGCAGCAGGAGGGAAUCUUCCGCAAUGGGCGAAAGCCUGACGGAGCAACGCCGCGUGAGUGAUGAAGAUCUUCGGAUCGUAAAACUCUGUUAUUAGGGAAGAACAUAUGUGUAAGUAACUGUGCACAUCUUGACGGUACCUAAUCAGAAAGCCACGGCUAACUACGUG
RNAcentral lists this ribosomal RNA (497 nucleotides) under uncultured bacterium. Its description in RNAcentral is "partial 16S ribosomal RNA". It matches the Rfam family "Bacterial small subunit ribosomal RNA", at positions 28 to 507 of the family's 1533-position model. The record is from RNAcentral.